UUUUUUUUUUGGGAUCUUUUGACUACAAUUUGGUUGCUAAUUGAAGGGAGUUUCAGAUCGCCCUGAUUCCUGUAACACCAUGUUCAGGUCAGAUGAUCGUUUCCUCGGGAUUCUUCACAAAAUGGUUUGUUUAUCUUUUAACAGUUUGAUGAUUAAUGCAACGAUGAAUGAAUAUGAUUGCAAAGGGAGCAUUAUUCGGAUUGUUGACGAGCUG
RNAcentral lists this unclassified non-coding RNA (214 nucleotides) under Hevea brasiliensis (rubber tree). The record is from RNAcentral. Lineage: Eukaryota; Viridiplantae; Streptophyta; Magnoliopsida; Malpighiales; Euphorbiaceae.